This 111-nucleotide ribosomal RNA is filed under the name Pogona vitticeps (central bearded dragon). Lineage: Eukaryota; Metazoa; Chordata; Lepidosauria; Squamata; Agamidae. The record is from RNAcentral.
ACCUGGAACCUGAAGACACCCCACUUCCUGCGAUCUUGGAAGCUAAGCAGGGUUGGACCUGUUUAGAACUUGAUUGGAAGUCCAUCAGGGAAUGACAAGAAAUUCCAGGUC